ACUACGGUGCUGAAGUAACAAAUGCCCUGCUUCCAGGAAAAGCCUCUAAGCAUCAGGUAACAUCAAAUCGUACCCCAAACCGACACAGGUGGUCAGGUAGAGAAUACCAAGGCGCUUGAGAGAACUCGGGUGAAGGAACUAGGCAAAAUGGUGCCGUAACUUCGGGAGAAGGCACGCUGGUGUGUAGGUGAAGUCCCUGCGGAUGGAGCUGAGACCAGUCGAAGAUACCAGCUGGCUGCAACUGUUUAUUAAAAACACAGCACUGUGCAAACACGAAAGUGGACGUAUACGGUGUGACGCCUGCCCGGUGCCGGAAGGUUAAUUGAUGGGGUUAUCCGUAAGGAGAAGCUCUUGAUCGAAGCCCCGGUAAACGGCGGCCGUAACUAUAACGGUCCUAAGGUAGCGAAAUUCCUUGUCGGGUAAGUUCCGACCUGCACGAAUGGCGUAAUGAUGGCCAGGCUGUCUCCACCCGAGACUCAGUGAAAUUGAACUCGCUGUGAAGAUGCAGUGUACCCGCGGCAAGACGGAAAGACCCCGUGAACCUUUACUAUAGCUUGACACUGAACAUUGAGCCUUGAUGUGUAGGAUAGGUGGGAGGCUUUGAAGCGUGGACGCCAGUCUGCGUGGAGCCAACCUUGAAAUACCACCCUUUAAUGUUUGAUGUUCUAACGUUGGCCCCUGACCGGGGUUGCGGACAGUGUCUGGUGGGUAGUUUGACUGGGGCGGUCUCCUCCCAAAGCGUAACGGAGGAGCACGAAGGUUAGCUAAUCCUGGUCGGACAUCAGGAGGUUAGUGCAAUGGCAUAAGCUAGCUUGACUGCGAGCGUGACGGCGCGAGCAGGUGCGAAAGCAGGUCAUAGUGAUCCGGUGGUUCUGAAUGGAAGGGCCAUCGCUCAACGGAUAAAAGGUACUCCGGGGAUAACAGGCUGAUACCGCCCAAGAGUUCAUAUCGACGGCGGUGUUUGGCACCUCGAUGUCGGCUCAUCACAUCCUGGGGCUGAAGUAGGUCCCAAGGGUAUGGCUGUUCGCCAUUUAAAGUGGUACGCGAGCUGGGUUUAGAACGUCGUGAGACAGUUCGGUCCCUAUCUGCCGUGGGCGCUGGAGAAUUGAGGGGGGCUGCUCCUAGUACGAGAGGACCGGAGUGGACGCAUCACUGGUGUUCGGGUUGUCAUGCCAAUGGCACUGCCCGGUAGCUAAAUGCGGAAGAGAUAAGUGCUGAAAGCAUCUAAGCACGAAACUUGCCCCGAGAUGAGUUCUCCCUGAGACUUUAAGUCUCCUGAAGGAACGUUGAAGACGACGACGUUGAUAGGCCGGGUGUGUAAGCGCAGCGAUGCGUUGAGCUAACCGGUACUAAUGAACCGUGAGGCUUAACCUUACAACGCCGAAG
RNAcentral lists this ribosomal RNA (1386 nucleotides) under Klebsiella pneumoniae. Its description in RNAcentral is "partial 23S ribosomal RNA". It matches the Rfam family "Bacterial large subunit ribosomal RNA", at positions 1576 to 2925 of the family's 2925-position model. The record is from RNAcentral. Lineage: Bacteria; Pseudomonadati; Pseudomonadota; Gammaproteobacteria; Enterobacterales; Enterobacteriaceae.